RNAcentral lists this unclassified non-coding RNA (353 nucleotides) under soil metagenome. RNAcentral's name for it is "partial contains 5.8S ribosomal RNA, internal transcribed spacer 2, and large subunit ribosomal RNA". The stretch from base 1 to 120 matches the Rfam family "5.8S ribosomal RNA", at positions 35 to 154 of the family's 154-position model. The record is from RNAcentral.
GAUGAAGAACGCAGUGAAAUGCGAUAAGUAGUGUGAAUUGCAGAAUUCAGUGAAUCAUCGAAUCUUUGAACGCACAUUGCGCCUCCUGGUAUUCCGGGAGGCAUGCCUGUUCGAGCGUCAUUAAAAUCACUCAAGCUUAGGUUUGCCUAUUGCUUGGUCUUGAAGAUGGAAGCUAAGUAAUUAGAAUCCUCUUCGAAAUCCAAUGGCGAAGACCCUUGCUCUCCCAAGUGUAGUAAUAACUUAUUCACUGAAGGAAGCGAGUAAUCUUCCGCCGUAACCCCCAUAUUUUCUAUGAUUGACCUCGGAUCAGGUAGGGAUACCCGCUGAACUUAAGCAUAUCAAUAAGCGGAGGA